This 1848-nucleotide ribosomal RNA is filed under the name Triticum aestivum (bread wheat). RNAcentral describes it as "partial small subunit ribosomal RNA". The record is from RNAcentral. Lineage: Eukaryota; Viridiplantae; Streptophyta; Magnoliopsida; Poales; Poaceae.
GAAUUUUUGAACACUUGCAGGUAGCUUCUGAACUCUGAAAUCUGAACACUUUCAGACGUCUUCAUAUUUCAGGCGUCAGGCUGAGCCUGACGCACCGCCUCUCGUUCCCCACCGCCUCCCCGCCUCCAGCCGCCGAGGGUCUCCGCCGCCGCCGCCCUCGCAUCCUUGCUCCCCCGUUCCCCCCACCCGGCACCGGCGCCGCCCCCGGCGACACUUCGCGGUUUCUUCACCCGGUCGCCCCGCUCAGGUCUCUCCCGCGUUCUAGGGUUAGCCCUCCUCUGUUCUGGGGUUUGGCUCGCCUUGCCGCGCCGCCCUUGUCUCGCCGGCAUCCCCGCACCGCCGAAGGAGCCUCGACCGCGGCCGCCCACCCUCGGCUAGUGUGCACCGCCUUCCCUAAUUACCCGAGCAGCGCCUCGUAGUCGCACGCUCCCGCAUCUGACGGGCGCUCCUUGUUUCGCCGAAUCGCGGCCAGUCCCGCGAUGGCGGCGAUGGGGCAGGAGGGGGACGACGUCGACCACUACGAGGUGCUCUGCCUGCCGUCCGGCGAGGAAGGCGCGGCGCUGAGCGUCGAGCAGAUCGAGAAGGCCUACCGGACGCAGUCGCGGCUCCGGCACCCCGACAAGCGCCCCGACGACCCCAACGCCACCGCUGACUUCCAGAGCCUCGCCAGCUCAUACAAGUUCCUCCGGGACGAGUCCCUCCGCCGUCAGUUUGACGUCCGCCUCCGUGGCCGCCGCGAGGCCGCAGCCCGCGCCGCGGCCACCGGGGUCAAGCGGCGGAAGGCCGUGUCCGACCUAGAGGAGCGCGAGCGCGCCUUCGCCGCCGGCGGAGGCCCCGCCGUCGACCCCGUCGAGCUGGCCAGGCGAGAGGAUAAGCGGAAGGCUGCCGACGUCAAGCGCGAACUCGACGAGUUCUUCGCUGCCAAGAAGUCAGGCGUCUCUGGCUCUGCUUCGACUCCGGCACAUGGAGAUAAGAAGGGUGCAACUCCAGAGAACGGACCAAAAACGGACAAGGGUAAGAUCUUGAAGGUUUCUUGGGAAGGGGGUGCAGAUUACUACACUGCAGCAAAGCUUGAUGAGAUAUUUAAGCAAUUCGGCACGGUUGAAGACAUUGUGAUCAAGACUAGGAAAUCAAAGAGCAAGGGUUCAGCAAUUGUUGUCAUGGCUUCCAAGGAGGCGGCACAAACUGCACUGAAGAACCAUUCUGUGUACAAUGUUUUCCCUGUCCCAUUGAUUGUUGCUUCUGUUCAAGAAUCGGGAGGGCUACCGGCAAGGUCAACUCAAACACCUGAACCGAGGACAAGCAACAUUGAUGGAACCGGGUUCAGCGAUUUGGAAGCAUCGGUAUUCCGAAAACUUCAAGAGGCCCAGAAAAGGAAGAAAUCUGGAUAAUUGAUGCUCCUCGAGGCAUGAGGUACCGCAAGUUACAGAGGACAUUUCCCUUCGCUACAGCUGAGGAUCAUCGGGGCAAUCCAGAACAAUCUUCUAGUAUCGUUACUGUUAUUUUUUGAUGGGUAUUUUGCAUCUUAGAUACAGUAGUAGAACAAAGUUUUUGCUAGGAGAGGUGAAAGGGAAACGGAGCCAUUCCAUAUCCAUACUUGUGCUUUCGAUCGCACACUUGUGCUGGUGAAAGGGAGUAUUUUCCUAGCCCACUGAAAGGCGAACAAGUAUUACCUCCGUACUGACACAGAGGUAGUACUAAAUUACUAUCGAUUUUUGGUUGAUAUAGAUAUGCUGAUGGAAGGCAAGUCCAUAAUAAUUUGUUUACAUGAUUGAUUGAUUGUUGUACUAUUGAUCUUUUUUUGUUUUUGAGUGAAUGCCAUCAUGGCUUUAUUAAUCAAAUAAGCAC